Molecule: ribosomal RNA, 778 nt
Filed under: uncultured Neocallimastigales
Lineage: Eukaryota; Fungi; Neocallimastigomycota; Neocallimastigomycetes; Neocallimastigales
Description: partial large subunit ribosomal RNA
Rfam family: Eukaryotic large subunit ribosomal RNA
Source: RNAcentral
UAUCUCUGUAGAGUCUGCAUAUCAAUAAGCGGAGGAAAAGAAACUAACUAGGAUUCCCUUAGUAACGGCGAGUGAAGCGGGAAGGAGCUCAAAUUUGAAAUCUUCAAGGUUCUACCUUGACGAAUUGUAGUUUAAAGAAGUGUUUUCUGUUGGAGUUUUGGUAAAAGUUCUUUGGAAUAGGACAUCAUAGAGGGUGAGAAUCCCGUAUUUGACCAUUAUUUCCAGCUUUGUGAUACACUUUCAAAGAGUCGGAUUGUUUGGGAAUGCAGUCCAAAAUGGGUGGUAAAUUUCAUCUAAAGCUAAAUAUUGGCGAGAGAGCCGAUAGCGAACAAGUACCGUGAGGGAAAGAUGAAAAGAACUUUGAAAAGAGAGUUAAACAGUACGUGAAAUUGUCAAAAGGGAAGCGUUUGACACCAGUGUUGUUUUCUCGAAAAUCAAUUAAAAAAAGUUGGAUUUUGUAUUGUUAAGACCUUAUCAGCUUACUGUACUCUUUUCUUGCUUUUUUUAAUGCACUUUUCGUUUAACAAGUCAACAUCAAUUUCUUUUGUUGUAAAAGAGUCAUUGGAAGGUGGCUUUCACUUUCGGAUGAAAGUGUUUAUAGCCUUUGACUUCUGCAAUCGGAGAGAUUGAGGUCUGCAGCGUAGAUCCUUCGGGGCUAGAUACGUAGAUGCUAAGUUAUAGUUUUUUAUAGACAACUUGUUGACUAUAAUUAAUCAUGUAGCUUACUCGUUUGCGCUAUUUUACCUACGCUUAGGAUGUUGACGAUCAGCUGAGCGCG